AUACCUUUCUCGGCCUUUUGGCUAAGAUCAAGUGUAGUAUCUGUUCUUAUCAGUUUAAUAUCUGAUACGUGGGCCAUCGGUCCACAUGAUAUUAAAUUAAUUUUUUUAGGGGGAGAGCUCACUCACAAUAGCUUGCUAUUGGGGCUCUUGCGCGUCGCCCAAGCGUUGCACUGCUGCUCGGGCCUGGCGCACCCCAC
This 197-nucleotide small nuclear RNA is filed under the name Theobroma cacao (cacao). Its description in RNAcentral is "snRNA U2". It matches the Rfam family "U2 spliceosomal RNA". From Rfam's summary of the family: U2 is a small nuclear RNA (snRNA) component of the spliceosome (involved in pre-mRNA splicing). The record is from Rfam by way of RNAcentral. Lineage: Eukaryota; Viridiplantae; Streptophyta; Magnoliopsida; Malvales; Malvaceae.